This 425-nucleotide ribosomal RNA is filed under the name uncultured bacterium. RNAcentral's name for it is "bacterial SSU rRNA". It matches the Rfam family "Bacterial small subunit ribosomal RNA", at positions 356 to 772 of the family's 1533-position model. The record is from RNAcentral.
GGGGAAUUGUUCGCAAUGGGCGCAAGCCUGACGACGCAACGCCGCGUGGAGGACGAAGAUCUUCGGGUCGUAAACUCCUGUCGAGCGGGAAGAACGCUUCGCGGAUGAAUAAGCCGCGGAGGUGACGGUACCGCUAAAGGAAGCCCCGGCUAACUCCGUGCCAGCAGCCGCGGUAAUACGGAGGGAGCUAGCGUUGUUCGGAAUUACUGGGCGUAAAGGGCUCGUAGGCGGCCAACCAAGUCCGACGUGAAAUCCCCAGGCUUAACCUGGGAACUGCGUCGGAUACUGGAUGGCUUGAAUUCGGGAGAGGGAUGCAGAAUUCCAGGUGUAGCGGUGAAAUGCGUAGAUAUCUGGAGGAAUACCGGCGGCGAAGGCGGCAUCCUGGACCGACAUUGACGCUGAGGAGCGAAAGCUAGGGGAGCAAA